CGGAGGGGCUAGGGGCGGUUGGCCCAGAGUGGACACCAUGUGAGUCCCUACUAGGUCCCAUGCAAACAUCCGCGGCCGGCUGACUCUUGCUUCCGGGUUUGCGUUCCAGCAGCUGGAACACAACACAGAAGCUAUUAUCUGCUCCAGGCUCCAGCUAGCUGCCACUUCCGGGUGCCGUUAGACGGGAGCAGUGUCUGCAGCUGCUGGGCUCGUGUUAGUGGAAACAUGUGACUGACAUGCACACUUGUUUCCAUUGCCAUUUGCUGUGUAGGGGCCGUUGUGGCCGGACAGAGCUGCCAGGGUGGUCAGAAGUGAAGCCAUACCUCAGCAGCGUCAGACAGUGUGCUGGGAGAUAAGGAUCGUCUGACCAUGGAGGACGAUCUGAUUGGAUAGUAUGGGGGCAGGUGGAAGGUGUACUGUGCCUUGCUGAACACUGUUUGCAAGUGAAGCGGGGAAAGGUCCCAUCCAGAGAGGUUUAUUUCAGUUACAGCAAUGUUUCUGCACUGAAGAUGCCAGUGUCCAAAACUGACUGGGUCCUGGCCUCAGAAAUGAAUAAGAUCUUCAAAUUCUGUUUUAUGAAAGAAGCAUGGAAAUCAACCUUUGUUUUUCAUCGUGGACCAGUGUUGUGUGAUAUGCCUUCAAAAAUAUCUACAUUUGUGAGUGCAAAAUUCUGACCAUUAAAGAACAUUUCAUAGUAUUUUGGUGUUUUUGCACUAUUGCUUCUUUUCUUUUGUAGCUCAAAAUCUAAGGGAUUGAAUUCUCUUAUGGUUCAUUUCUCCUUUCAAGUUCUCGAUCAGCAUCCCUUGUAUUCAUUUAACAGUGGGUCCUCUCUGUAAGCAUUAGACAAGUGCAGGAAGAGUCUGAGGUCACUAUGUUACAGGAGAAAGGGACUUCCCUAAGCAGAGAGCAAAGGUCUCUGAAACUCAGCUUGCGGACCACUAUGGAGCUGCCAUGGCAAUGCCCGAUGUGAGGGUGCACAACCAAUAGGACCCCAGGUGAUGGAACUGAAAAGCUUCUGGGAUGAAUGUUAGUACAAUAUUUUCAAAACUCUGAAGUUCCAUGAAAGAAUAGAACACUUGUGCAGAGAGAUCACCGGUGUCCCCCGAGAGCUGUACAUGAAGAUUGUACUUUGGGAGGGAGGCAGGUGUAACAUGUAAGUGGAAGAUAUGGGCCAAUGACUGUAUAACAUGUACAGUAUAAGAAUCCAUAGUAUUAUCACUUUAUUAUACUCUUGUUAUAUUAUAACUAUAUACUUACCCAUGGGCGAAGCCCUUGGAAUGCAGGAAUUGGAGCCCACAUACAAUUUCUGCACUGUAGAAUCUGUUGGAUAGAAAAUAAGUUAAUGUUACAUUGUUAGGAUGUGUACAUAAUGGCUGAGGAUUUCCAGCCAACACCCCCCACAUUUUCCCACAAUGUCCCCAUUUAUUUUGUUUCACAUUUAUCAACUGCCUAAUAUAAUGUUUCUAGUGUUGUGCAUUGGUGCAAGUCACUAUAUAUUGUAUAUGGCUUAUUAGAGUUUAUGUAAAAGGAGUAUUGGGAUGUCUUCAAGAUGACGCUCACAAAGUAUCCUUAUAUAAUAACAGCUGCUUUAUUUGUCAGGAUGGAAGACAAUUUACAGAAACAAUUCUAAUAACAUAGAAGGAUUAAGGGGGACAGGUACUGAGCAGUGAUAAAAGUGGAGAAGUGAGCCAGUGGAAAAGUUGCCCAUGGCAACCAAUCAGCAUUGAUGUAACAUUUAUAAUUUGCAUACUAGAAAAGUAUACAAAGCAGCUGAUUGGUUGCCAUGGGCAACUUCACCACUGGCUCACUUCUCUACUGUUAUCACUGCUAAGUACAUGUCCCCCAAAGUGCUAUUUCUUAGGCUCACGCUAUUUUGUACUUUUUGCUUGUUUUUUUAAAAUAUAUAAUCUCUCAUCAAGUCCUUCCUCUAUCAUGUGGCUCUAACAAGAUAUCAUUCUAUGUCCUCACCUUGCACUGGAGAUGGUAAGAGGCCCAUUCCUCAUCAGAAGAUGUUCCAAGUCACCACCACUCGCAUACUCCAUACCAAGGAGCACGUGCUUCUGUUUAUGGGAGAAGCAAUAGUGUUAUUAUACAUGUCAGGAAAGUCAGGAGGGAAAGAGUUGGGCCGUAGGGAAUGUCGUCUUCUGACCAAAAUAAGUAAAGAUAAAUUAUAUACUUUUUUCAUUUUUAAAAAUGUCCUUCGCUUCUUUUCUCCUCAUGGGAAUAUA
Long non-coding RNA from Pseudophryne corroboree (corroboree frog), 2228 nucleotides. RefSeq lists it as uncharacterized. The record is from RefSeq and is a predicted model, not a curated record. The transcript has 5 exons. NCBI's taxonomy places the organism in Eukaryota, Metazoa, Chordata, Amphibia, Anura, Myobatrachidae.